GAUGAACGCUGGCGGCGUGCUUAACACAUGCAAGUCGAGCGAAGCACUUAAGAAUGAUUCUUCGGAUGAAGACUUUUGUGACUGAGCGGCGGACGGGUGAGUAACGCGUGGGUAACCUGCCUCAUACAGGGGGAUAACAGUUAGAAAUGGCUGCUAAUACCGCAUAAGACCACAGUACUGCAUGGUACAGUGGUAAAAACUCCGGUGGUAUGAGAUGGACCCGCGUCUGAUUAGGUAGUUGGUGAGGUAACGGCCCACCAAGCCGACGAUCAGUAGCCGACCUGAGAGGGUGACCGGCCACAUUGGGACUGAGACACGGCCCAGACUCCUACGGGAGGCAGCAGUGGGGAAUAUUGCACAAUGGGCGAAAGCCUGAUGCAGCGACGCCGCGUGAAGGAUGAAGUAUUUCGGUAUGUAAACUUCUAUCAGCAGGGAAGAAAAUGACGG
RNAcentral lists this ribosomal RNA (447 nucleotides) under uncultured bacterium. RNAcentral describes it as "bacterial SSU rRNA". It matches the Rfam family "Bacterial small subunit ribosomal RNA", at positions 28 to 457 of the family's 1533-position model. The record is from RNAcentral.